Long non-coding RNA from Nerophis ophidion (straightnose pipefish), 3190 nucleotides. RefSeq lists it as uncharacterized. The transcript is spliced from 6 exons. NCBI's taxonomy places the organism in Eukaryota, Metazoa, Chordata, Actinopteri, Syngnathiformes, Syngnathidae. The record is from RefSeq and is a predicted model, not a curated record.
UUGUUUGAUUCAGUAUUUUACUGUAUUGGACUUUUUGCUAUUCUGUUGACUAAAAUACAAUGCCGCACAAUAAUUGCUUUAAAUGUGCCUGAAAUGUAGGUUUUUGCAUAAAAAAAAACAACCUUCAACCUUGAUUGAGACAAAGGCAAUAAUUCAAAUGCAAUUCAAACUACACACAGUAUUUAAUAUUUUCAAAUGGUUACAAUAGCACAUUAUUUGGGUAUUUUUAUCUUUGGGGCAAAUUUAGGAUUAAUAUGGGGAUUGUUUUUGGAGGUAUUCACUUUACAUGGUGUUCAAGAUGGUUACUUCCGCCCACUCUGAAGAGUCUCGGCGUCUGAUUGGUCCAAUUUUCAGUUAGGCGCCGCCUGAUUGGCCGCUGGACGAUGUCUGCUCCUAACAGAUGGCUAAAUCACUAGUUAACUAUUUUCAUCAUGGAAAUUAUACAGCUCACGUAUCACACUUAAUAUUGAAUAUAUAUAAAAAGGGUUUUCCAAAAGGACCAUUUAUAAUCGAAAUACAAAACUUCACACACGAUUUUGAGCACAACAGAGCGCUCAGUGAACAUCACUUCCGGGACCUGCAUCACCGGAGGGGGACAUCUAUCUUGGCCACAAACCAUCUUUGACAGUCUUCGGCAGCAUGGUUGAAUCAGGUGAGCAUAAAAUGGAGUUUAACGUAAUUAAAUAGACCAAUGUUUUUUAACAUAGGAAAAUAGUUCAUUGUAAACAACAGUUAAAUGUUUGUUGUUAUUAAUUGCAAUCAGAUUUGAUUUUAUGAGGUCAAAUUAAGCAUUUCAGUUCUGGGCCAAGGCCAAGGCAUUUAAAUUUUUUUUUUUAAAGUUGCAUGGAAGAUUAUAAGUAGCAGUGAUUGUCACACACACACUAGGUGUGGUGAAAUUAUUCUCUGCAUUUGACCCAUCACCCUUGAUCACUAUGCUAGUAAACCUUUUCUUAAUUUUAAACAAGACAUACUAGAGUUCUUCAAAUUGUUUAUACUUUUUCUCAAAUACAAAUAUGUCAAGCUGAUAAGCACUGUGGAGUAGGCAUGUUACUGAUAUUGUUACAUUAGUUCUUUGUUUGAGAAGCUUCAUGUCUGCACUGAUCCUAAAUUUAACAGUUUUUGAAGGGUUUGGUUCUUUGUUUUAUUUCUGUGUCACUGACUUUUUUCAUUUUUAUGUGUGGAUUUGUUAGGCGCAUCAACACAUGAUAUAGACAUCGUGCCCAAAAGAAGAGCGAGACGUAAUCCUGAGGCUGAAGCUACCGAGUUUAUUUGAUCUGGAUGUGACAAGUCUUGUUUUAAGGCCCAGUGGAUCAAUGAUUGGAAAGACACCAACUGUUGAUGUUCUAUCUCAACAUUCUCCAGACUCAUGUGACCGAUAAACCGACUUCAUCCCUCCAACAGACACCAACUGUUGGGGUUCUAUCUCAACAUUCUCCAGAUUCAGAUGUGAGCGAUAAACCGACUUCAUCCCUCCAACAGACACCAACUGUUGGGGUUCUAUCUCAACAUUCUCCAGAUUCAGAUGUGAGCGAUAAACCGACUUCAUCCCUCCAACAGAAACCAACUGUUGAGGUUCCAUCUCAACAUUCUCCAGAUUCAGAUGUGAGCCAUUAACUGACUUCAUCCCUCCAACAGAAACCAACUGUUGAGGUUCUAUCUCAACAUUCUCUAGAUUCAGAUGACAGCCAUAAACCGACUUCAUCCCUCCAACAGGUUAUUACAUGUCUAUUUUUACUAUAUCUGCUCUAAAUUUGACCCAACCUAUAUUUUGAAAGACAUUUAUUAAUUUUAAUCUCUCACAGAUCAGUUUAUAUGACAACAUUUUCGUAAGGGUACAUCCAUGUUAGUCAGUAGGGAGUUUGGAACUCAUGUUUAGCAAAACAGGAGAUGUUACAAGUCAACAACAUAAAUUCUACAUGUGAGCACUCGUCAUGUCCUCAUAUUGUUUGAACCAAGAAAGUGUGUUUCAUAUAAGGUCCUCAUAUUUUCUGAACCAGAUUAGUGUGUGUUAAAAUGUUAAUGUCAAAGCUUUAAAAUGAGUGUUUCAAUUCAGAAAAUGCAGUGCCUCUUGUUUACAGCCGGUUUUUGCAGCGCUGUUUUCAUUGAUCAAAGUAUUUUUUCGGUGGUCGUGUUUUUGGUACAUAACUUGUAAAUAGUGCGCAAAUAAUAGGCUAUAUUUAUAUAAAUACAUUCAAACCCCGUUUCCAUAUGAGUUGGGAAAUUGUGUUAGAUGUACAUAUAAACAGGAUACAAUGAUUUGCAAAUAAUUUUCAACCCCAAUUCUGUUGAAUAUGCUACAAAGACAACAUAUUUGAUGUUAAAACUGCUAAACAUUUUUUUUGCAAAGAAUUUAGGGAUUUUACCAUCUACGGUCCGUAAAAUUAUCAAAAGGUUCAGAGGAUCUGGAGAAAUCACUGCACGUAAGCGAUGUACUGCAUUAAAAACCGACAUCAGUGUGUAAAAGAUAUCACCACAUGGGCUCAGAAAUACUUCAGAAAACCACUGUCAGUUACUACAGUUGGUCGCUACAUCUGUAAAUGCAAGUUAAAACUCUACUAUGCAAAGCAAAUGCCAUUUAUCAACAAGACAGAGGAACGCCGCGGGCUUCGCUGGGCCCGAGCUCAUCUAGGAUGGACUGAUGCAAAGUGGAAAAGUGUUCUGUGGUCUGACGAGUCCACAUUUCAAAUUAUAUAUGGAAAUUGUGGACGUGGUGUUCUCCGGAACAAAGAGGAAAAUAACCAUCCGGCGCAAAGUUCAAAAGCCAGCAUGUGUGAUGGUAUGGGGGUGUAUUAGUGCCCAAAGCAUGGGUAACUUACACAUCUGAGAAGGCACCAUUAAUGCUGAAUGGUCCAUACAGGUUUUGGAGCAACAUAUGUUGUCAUCCAAGCAACAUUAUCAUGGGCGCCCCUGCUUAUUUCAGCAAAACAAUGCCAAGCCACGUGUUACAACAGCGUGUCUUCGUAGUAAAAGAGUGCGGGUACUUUCCUGGCCCGCCUGCAGUCCAGACAUGUCUCCCAUCGAAAAUGUGUAGCGCAUUAUGAAGCGUAAAACACGACAACUUAAGCUUUACAUCAAGCAAGAAUGGUAAAGAAUUCCACUUUCAAAGCUUCAACAAUUAGUUUCCUCAGUUCCCAAACGUUUAUUGAGUGUUGUUAAAAGAAAAUGUGAUGUAACACAGUGGUGAACAUGC